Molecule: ribosomal RNA, 433 nt
Filed under: uncultured bacterium
Lineage: Bacteria
Description: partial 16S ribosomal RNA
Rfam family: Bacterial small subunit ribosomal RNA
Source: RNAcentral
AACGAACGCUGGCGGCAUGCCUAACACAUGCAAGUCGAACGAGACCUUCGGGUCUAGUGGCGCACGGGUGCGUAACGCGUGGGAACCUGCCCUUAGGUUCGGAAUAACUCCCCGAAAGGGGUGCUAAUACCGGAUAAUGUCUUCGGACCACAGAUUUGUCGCCUUUGGAUGCGCCCGCGUUGGUUUAGCUAGUUGGUAGGGUAAAAGCCUACCACGGCGACGAUCCAUAGCUGGUCUGAGAGGAUGAUCAGCCACACUGGGACUGAGACACGGCGCAGACUCCUACGGGAAGCAGCAGUGGGGAAUAUUGGACAAUGGGCGAAAGCCUGAUCCAGCAAUGCCGCGUGAGUGAUGAAGGCCUUAGGGUUGUAAAGCACUUUUACCCGGGAUGAUAAUGACAGUACCGGGAGAAUAAGCUCCGGCUAACUCCGUG